AGUUACUGUUCCAUUGUAUGGCUAUACCAUGUGUGUCCACUCAACAGCUAAUGGACAUCUGGGUUCUUUCCAGUGUUGGUCAUUUGUGACUCAAGCUGCUACAGACAUUUGUGUAGAAGUCUUUGGGGGAACAUAUGCUUCUGUUUCUCUUGGGUAAAUACCCAGGAGUGGACCUGCUGGGAUGGAUGUGGGAAGUGUAUGUUUAACUUUUUAAGAAAUGGCCAGAGCACUGCUUUUCAAUGUGGUUUACUCUCUUACACUGCCAUCAGCGAUGCAUGAGAGUACACAUUUCUCCAUGUCCUGAUCAACACUUAAUAUGGCCACUUUUUAGUCUUUUCCAUUCUAAUUGUGGGAAACAGUAUCUCACUGCAGUUGUAAGCUGCCUCAGCCUCCCAAGUAGCUGGGGCUACAGGCAUGUGCCACCACACCCAGCUAAUUUUUUGUAUUUUUAGUGUACAAGAUCCAUAUGAGGAAAACUUCAAAACGCUGAUGAAAAAAAGA
Molecule: long non-coding RNA, 501 nt
Filed under: Pan troglodytes (chimpanzee)
Lineage: Eukaryota; Metazoa; Chordata; Mammalia; Primates; Hominidae
Description: long non-coding RNA NONPTRT016664
Source: RNAcentral